This 454-nucleotide ribosomal RNA is filed under the name uncultured bacterium. RNAcentral's name for it is "partial 16S ribosomal RNA". It matches the Rfam family "Bacterial small subunit ribosomal RNA", at positions 28 to 507 of the family's 1533-position model. The record is from RNAcentral.
GAUGAACGCUGACAGAAUGCUUAACACAUGCAAGUCCACUUGAACUUCGGUUUGGGUGGCGGACGGGUGAGUAACGCGUAAAGAACUUGCCUCACAGCUAGGGACAACAUUUGGAAACGAAUGCUAAUACCUGAUAUUAUGAUUAUAUGGCAUCGUAUAAUUAUGAAAGCUAUAUGCGCUGUGAGAGAGCUUUGCGUCCCAUUAGCUAGUUGGAGAGGUAACAGCUCACCAAGGCGAUGAUGGGUAGCCGGCCUGAGAGGGUGAUCGGCCACAAGGGGACUGAGACACGGCCCUUACUCCUACGGGAGGCAACAGUGGGGAAUAUUGGACAAUGGACCGAGAGUCUGAUCCAGCAAUUCUGUGUGCACGAUGAAGUUUUUCGGAAUGUAAAGUGCUUUCAGUUGGGAAGAAAAAAAUGACGGUACCAACAGAAGAAGUGACGGCUAAAUACGUG